GCCACUAUAGCUCAGUAGGUAGAGCGCAUCCAUGGUAAGGAUGAGGUCACCGGUUCGAUCCCGGUUAGUGGCU
RNAcentral lists this transfer RNA (73 nucleotides) under Amygdalobacter indicium. RNAcentral's name for it is "Oscillospiraceae bacterium UPII 610-J tRNA-Thr". It matches the Rfam family "tRNA". Rfam says of the family: Transfer RNA (tRNA) molecules are approximately 80 nucleotides in length. Their secondary structure includes four short double-helical elements and three loops (D, anti-codon, and T loops). Further hydrogen bonds mediate the characteristic L-shaped molecular structure. tRNAs have two regions of fundamental functional importance: the anti-codon, which is responsible for specific mRNA codon recognition, and the 3' end, to which the tRNAs corresponding amino acid is attached (by aminoacyl-tRNA synthetases). tRNAs cope with the degeneracy of the genetic code in two manners: having more than one tRNA (with a specific anti-codon) for a particular amino acid; and 'wobble' base-pairing, i.e. permitting non-standard base-pairing at the 3rd anti-codon position. Lineage: Bacteria; Bacillati; Bacillota; Clostridia; Eubacteriales; Oscillospiraceae. The record is from RNAcentral.